GGCGUGUAUAACCUACAUAUAAGACUGGGAUAACUUCAAGGAAACCGGAUCUAAUACCCGAUAAUAUAUUGAACCGCAUGGUUCAAUAGUGAAAGACGGUUUUGCUGUCACUUAUAGAUGGAUCCGCGCCGCAUUAGGUAGUUGGUAAGGUAACGGCUUACCAAGGCGACGAUGCGAAGCCGACCUGAGAGGGUGAUCGGCCACACUGGAACUGAGACACGGUCCAGACUCAUACGGGAGGAAGCAUGAAGGAAUCUUCCACAAUGGGCGAAAGCCUGACGGAUGAACGCAGCAUGAGUGAUGAAUGUCUUCGGAUCGUAAAAAUCUGUUAUUAGGGAAGAACAAAUGUGUAAAUAACUAUGCACGUCUUGACGGUACCUAAUCAGAAAGCCAU
Molecule: ribosomal RNA, 394 nt
Filed under: uncultured Staphylococcus sp.
Lineage: Bacteria; Bacillati; Bacillota; Bacilli; Caryophanales; Staphylococcaceae
Description: bacterial SSU rRNA
Rfam family: Bacterial small subunit ribosomal RNA
Source: RNAcentral